Molecule: long non-coding RNA, 2241 nt
Organism: Anolis carolinensis (green anole)
Lineage: Eukaryota; Metazoa; Chordata; Lepidosauria; Squamata; Anolidae
Exons: 2
Source: RefSeq, a predicted model, not a curated record
UGCACUCCUUCCUCUUUCCCUGAGAAAAGGAGGCCCGAAGAGUGAACAGAAUCAUGCUUUCCCAUAGCAGAUCUGCCACAUGUUCUGGACUGUCCUAAGGUCACUUAUAUAGCAAUAUUUUGCUCAUGAUGUCCCAAAGUUGUAAAUGAAUGAUAGACGUCUUCCAUCCUGGAAUAACCCCAGUUUCCUGGACCAGAUGUUGAUUCCUCUUAAUUGGUGUUAGCAAACACAAGGAGAAGACUUCCUUCUUAACAGAUGUUAAGAUUUCCUUAAUUUGAUGUAAACAUUUCUCUUAUCAGUCACAGUUCUUAUCACAGUUUAUCGGGCAGGACAACUAUUUCAGGUCUUAUUAGCAGGUUUUAAUUACAAUUCCUGAGAAGGUAGUUAAUGGUUUGCAGGCCUUAGUGUCUUCAAAUUUACUAACUCUCUUUCAUUCUUCCAUUCAUACCAACAUAUAAUAAAUCUAUAUUUUGGUCACAAGUGUAUUUCAAAAUAUAUUGGCUGCAGGAAAGAAAAUAGUUCCAUGUUCCUGGCAGUUUGAGUUAUGUAUGGGACUGGCAAAAACUCCUUGAGCAUCCGUUGCCCAAAAAUUAAAAAAGCAUGACAAUUAGUUGUGUUGCCCAUGAAGGCUUGUACAGUUUUUAACUAAGAAUGAAUCCGGCACCGUUUGGGACCGCCUCGGAAACCUCAGAAGGGUGCGACCGGGUUCCUUUGCAUACAGCCCAUGAGGCAUUGCGCGAGGAUUUUCAACUUGAAUUUACAGGGGAAAUCUUAGGGGCCAGAGAAGCAGAUGGGGAAACAGAAGAAGGGCCUGCCUCAGGGGAGCGUGCUUGCUCCAUCCAUGUUGAACAUUUACACCAAUGAUCAGCCACUGCCAGAAGGGACAGAGAGUUUCAUCUAUGCUGACGAUCGUGCCAUCAACGCCCAAGCAGGGAGCUCUGAAAUUGUAGAAGCUUUAGGUGCUCUUGCUGCUUCUUACAGGGAAAACCAGCUGAUUCCUAAUCCAUCUAAAACACAGACAUGUGCUUUUCACCUUAAGAACAGACAAGCAUCUUGAGCUCUGAAGAUCACCUGUGAAGGAAUCCCACUGGAGCACUGCAGCACACCCAAAUACGUGGGAGUUACCCUGGACCACAUUCUGACCUAUAAGAAGCACUGCUUGACUAUAAAGCAAAUAAUGGGCUCAAGAAACAAUCUCAUACGAAAGCUGACUGGCACAACCUGGACAUCACAACCAGGGCCGGAGAUAAAUUUAAAUAUUAAGCGGGGGCGCUGAAAAGCGCCCCCCGCCGGCCCCGCCUCCUGCGCCCUGGCCCCGCCUCCCAACCAGCGUGCCCUGGCCCCGCCUCCCGCGCUGCGUGGGAGGCGCGGCCAGGGUUGGAAAGAGGGAGGCUUCGCCGCCCGGGGAGGGAAGGAGGGGAUCUCUCCUCCCCUCCCCGGGCGGCGAAAGAAGCAGGCUUCGCCGCCCGGGGAGGGAAGGAGGGGAUCUCUCCUCCCCUCCCCGGGCGGCGAAAGAAGCAGGCUUCUAAUUUUUGGUGGCCUGCCGUCGGGCCUAUAUUGUACCGUAGUAGCAGAUAUAUCCUGCCAGUGGAUAUUUUUACACUGGGUAAUAUCCUUGCAGAUGGCCAAUUUGGUGAUUGGGCUCAGAGUUCCCUGGGUAAGGGGGAACUACAACUCCCAUAUCUGAGGUAAAUAACCCCUAAAUUGGGUUUUAUUCACAGUUUGCUAUGUUGGGUCUUGUGUGCAGCUCUCCUUAUUAUCCAACAUAUUUGCUUAUCCAAUGUUCUGCUGGCCUGUUUAUGUUGGAUAAGUGAGACUCUACUGUGUGUGUGUGUGUGUGUCACACACACAUAUAUAUAUAUAUUAGCAGAUAUAAGAUAAAUAUGAAGUAAAGUAUUUGCAAUUAAGUUCAUUGUGUCUAGUAAAAGUCUAGUAAAAGUUCUGCAACUCUGUUUUGGAAUUGAAGGCACAACUGAGAAAAGUAAAUGCAGCUCUGAUUGGAGUCCGUCCUAUUUUUAAUAGCUAGCCAUUGGAUUUUGGGAGUUAUAGUUUACCCCUCACAAUGGAUCCCACCAACAAUAGAGGUGGAUCAGUAAUAAUAAUAAUAAUAAUAAGUCCUAGACACUUGGGAAGUGUUCGACUUGUGAUUUUGUGAUACGAAAUCCAGCAUAUCUAUCUUGUUUGCUGUGUCAUACAAUAAUAAUAUUUUCCAGGGAGACUCAUUGUCCCCUCUGCUGUUCA